This is a long non-coding RNA of Ailuropoda melanoleuca (giant panda), 964 nucleotides long. RefSeq lists it as uncharacterized. The transcript has 2 exons. NCBI's taxonomy places the organism in Eukaryota, Metazoa, Chordata, Mammalia, Carnivora, Ursidae. The record is from RefSeq and is a predicted model, not a curated record.
AUAGGAAAGAAAAUGCUGGACAGAUAGAAGCUUCUGGCCACAGUGUCCCAACGUGGGACCAUGAUAAUUAAAAGGAAGCAUUGGCAGGCACCCCGAAGCAGGCUCCCGAGGAGAGAUCUUAGACAGCUGCCCUGUGGUUCUGGGGCAAGUGUGGUCCCUGGAGAAGCUGAAGCUGGAGUGCCAACUCACUGGCAGCAUGGCUAUGGCAGGGAGUCAGCUCUGUGGUUUCUUCUCUUCUGAAUGCCAAACCAUCACUGCAAAAUGUCAGUCUGCCACUUACUAGCUGUGUGACCUUGGGCAAGUUACUUAACCUUUCUGAGCCGCAGGGGAUAUGAAAAUCAGUCAUCCGGAAUGUACAACCAAAGCUGUCUGCCACCGUGUCUGAGCUUGUGAGACCCAGAGAAGGAGUCAGGGUUUCAACUGGGCCCCAACUAGCACGUGACGCUGGACAAGUGGCGCAGGUGACAUCUCAGCUUCUCCACCUACAAACCCAGCGCAAGCCCAUCUCUCUGCCUCCCCAAGUAAGACGACGCAGAUGGAACCGUUUCAGGUCUUUCAGUACUUAAGGUGUCAUGUUAUUCAUUUCCCCCAGUCAUUUGUUUCCGGGUCUUGAAGGAAAAUCUCACAAAAAGGGGAAUUUUAAUUAUUACCAAUUCACUGAGCUCUCAGCAUAGCCUGAGAAAAUCGUGACUUGUUUCACUUCUCAAGGGGCUUUCCUGGCAAGGGAGGUGUCCCUAGUGAUUCCACACCCUCGUCUCUGGAGAGGAAAAACAAUCACUUCUACCACAGCCAUGGUAUUGGACAAACCAUUCAUUGAAACAGCACCAUGUUGAGUGAAAGUCAAAUAACGCAAAUGACCACCGUGCUUCGUUUGAAUGCACCAGCCCUGGGUUUUGACCAAUGAUAGACACACUGCAAGCCUUUGUGAUUUGUCAAGAAUAAAUUCCAAGCUUUUCAUUUCAAC